GUGAGGAAUAUUGGACAAUGGGCGCAAGCCUGAUCCAGCCAUGCCGCGUGCAGGAAGACGCAUCUAUGGUGUGUAAACUGCUUUUGUACGGGAAGAAACACUCCCUCGUGAGGGAGCUUGACGGUACCGUAAGAAUAAGGAUCGGCUAACUCCGUGCCAGCAGCCGCGGUAAUACGGAGGAUCCAAGCGUUAUCCGGAAUCAUUGGGUUUAAAGGGUCCGUAGGCGGUUUAAUAAGUCAGUGGUGAAAGCCCAUCGCUCAACGAUGGAACGGCCAUUGAUACUGUUAGACUUGAAUUACAAGGAAGUAACUAGAAUAUGUAGUGUAGCGGUGAAAUGCGUAGAUAUUACAUGGAAUACCAAUUGCGAAGGCAGGUUACUACUUGUGGAUUGACGCUGAUGGACGAAAGCGUGGGGAGCGAACAGGAUUAGAAACCCGUGUAGUCC
RNAcentral lists this ribosomal RNA (445 nucleotides) under uncultured bacterium. RNAcentral's name for it is "partial 16S ribosomal RNA". It matches the Rfam family "Bacterial small subunit ribosomal RNA", at positions 354 to 796 of the family's 1533-position model. The record is from RNAcentral.